UAUAGUACAUAUGCACAUAUGAAUUUCAUUCUUAACUAUGAAAACAUUGCAUAAAACUAACUCAAUUUUUUUUUUAAUUUCACUUUUUGAUAUACCUGUAUUCUACUAACACUUUCUACCUUUGGCUUACAGAUGAGUAAGGAAGAACUGAAAGGAAGAGGAACUACCUUUCCCUCUCUUUUACUUUCCUUUUACAUCAUCAUUAGUAGUUAGCUACAGGGAAGUGAUGACUAAGAAAAGGAUUAGAAAAAUCUCAGCCUACGUUAAAAGUAUUUGCAUAUGAAGACUAUAUACUGCAAAGUAACAUAAGAUACUUACUGAGCUACAAAAACCUGCUGAACAAGUGUUACAAGACAAGAGUAGAGCUUGGUGACAGAAAUGGGAGAAGUUGACUGCUGCCCACUGCAAUUGGUGUAAAGAGAGGCAAGUGUUACCUAGAAAAAUCCAGUAAGGAGGAUUUUUGCUUCUGGCAGUAUGGUAUACUAGAGGUUCAGUGAACCCCUAGCCAGCCUUAUUAAAAAGAAAAGAGAACAGACUCAAAUUAAUAAAAUCAUGAAUGAAAGAGAAGAGAUCACAACCAAUACCAAGGAAAUACAAACGAUUUUAAAAGCAUAUUGUGGGCAGCUAUAUGCCAACAAAUUAGGAAAUCUGGUAGAAAUGGGUGCAUUUCUGGAAAACCACAAAUCACCAAAACUGGAACAGGAAGAAAUAGAAAACCUGAACAAGCCAAUAACCAGGGAGGAAAUUGAAGCAGUCAUCAUAAACCUCCCAAGACAGAAAAGUCCACAGCCAGAUGGCUUCCCAGGGGAAUUCUAUCAAACAUUUAAAGAAGAAAUAAUACCUAUUCUACUAAAGCUGUUUUGAAGGAUAGAAAGGGAGGGAAUACUUCCAAACUCGUUUUAUGAGGCCAGCAUUACCUUGAUUCCAAACCCAGACAACGACUCCACCAAAAAGGAGAAUUAUAGAUCAACAUACCUGAUGAGCAUGGAUUCAAAAAUUCUCACCAAGAUACUAGCCAAUACUAGCACCCCAGAGUUCAUAGCAGCAAUGUCCACAAUAGCCAAACUGUGGAAGGAGCCACGAUGUCCUUUGACAGAUGAAUGGAUAAACAAGAUGUAUAAAUAUAUAUGUAUAUAUAUAUAUAUAUAUAUAUAUACACAUACAUACAUACAAUGGAAUAUUACUUAAUCAUCAGAAAUGAUGAAUACCCACCAUUUGCUUUGAUGUGGAUGGAAUUGGAGGAUAUUAUACUAAGUGAAGUAAGUCAAUCAGAGAAGGACAAUCAUCAUAUGACUUCACUCAUUCAUGAAAUAUAAGAAACAGUGAAAGGGAUUAUAAGGGAAAGGAGGGGAACUG
This is a long non-coding RNA of Nyctereutes procyonoides (raccoon dog), 1356 nucleotides long. RefSeq lists it as uncharacterized. The record is from RefSeq and is a predicted model, not a curated record. The transcript has 3 exons. Lineage: Eukaryota; Metazoa; Chordata; Mammalia; Carnivora; Canidae.